Molecule: ribosomal RNA, 481 nt
Filed under: uncultured bacterium
Lineage: Bacteria
Description: partial 16S ribosomal RNA
Rfam family: Bacterial small subunit ribosomal RNA
Source: RNAcentral
GAUGAACGCUGGCGGCGUGCCUAAUACAUGCAAGUCGAGCGAAUGGAUUAAGAGCUUGCUCUUAUGAAGUUAGCGGCGGACGGGUGAGUAACACGUGGGUAACCUGCCCAUAAGACUGGGAUAACUGCGGGAAACUGUAGCUAAUACCGGAUACGACCCUCGGCGGCAUCGCCAGGGGGUGGAAAGAAUUUCGGUCAAGGAUGGACUCGCGGCCUAUCAGCUAGUUGGUGAGGUAACGGCUCACCAAGGCGACGACGGGUAGCCGGCCUGAGAGGGUGACCGGCCACACUGGGACUGAGACACGGCCCAGACUCCUACGGGAGGCAGCAGUGGGGAAUAUUGCACAAUGGGCGCAAGCCUGAUGCAGCAACGCCGCGUGAGUGAUGAAGGCCUUAGGGUUGUAAAGCUCUUUCGUCCGGGACGAUAAUGACGGUACCGGAAGAAGAAGCCCCGGCUAACUUCGUGCCAGCCGCCGCCGUAA